RNAcentral lists this long non-coding RNA (1971 nucleotides) under Cricetulus griseus (Chinese hamster). Its description in RNAcentral is "lncRNA (ENSCGRG00015033025.1)". Lineage: Eukaryota; Metazoa; Chordata; Mammalia; Rodentia; Cricetidae. The record is from RNAcentral.
UGCUUGCCUGGCAUUUGAUAGCAAGAUGGCGACUAGUGCUUCGUCUGUAUUCCAAACACGGGGCAAACAGAGAACUCAGGGUCCUUGGACCUCCCUAACUGUGAUUUUAGGGAACUGGACCCCAAGUUUCGUGCAUCGGGCGUCUGCGGAAGGACUGAGAACUGGGGAGUCUGAGCCCAGAGUGCAUGUGGAAACAGCCUAAACACCAACGCAAGAAUUCCAAGUCCUCUCAUUUCUGAAGAGGCUUUUCUCCCCCAGAGCAAGUCAGGGGCAGACAGAACUCGGUCCAGGAAAUUCCUGAGUUUGGCACUCAGAAAGUAUAGGCCGCCAUUGCUGACCUGAGAUCUGAGUCCUGUGUUGAGUCGAUGAAAUAUAAAUGGCGAGUGAAGCCUGUAAGUAUCUUUGGCCUCAAAGAUGGGCUGGGGAGAUGGCGCAUUGGGUAAGAGUGAUUGCCCUGAAAGGACAAAGACGUAAGUUCAAGUCCCCAGCACCCACAUAAAAAGCUGGGUAUGGGGGCUCAGUGGUUAAGAGCACUUGCUACUCUUGCAGAGAACCUGGGUUCAGUUCCCAGCACUCACAUGACGGCUCACAACCACCAGGAACUUCGGUUCCCUCCCUACCCUUUAAGAAAGAAAAGGACAAAAUGGGCUUAUUUUGGAAAUUGAGUGUACCUCUGAGGGGGGAAAAAAAGAAUCAUUAGGCUUGGUCUAAAAGCCAGAUUCUGAUAAAACUGUACAAGAUAUUUGAGUUUUUAAAAUAAAAGAAUUAGGAAAAUGCCUUUUUACUUAUGGAAACAAAAGGAAGCCAGUGAGCUAACCAUCCCAGCCCUCCUGAGGAGGCAAAAGGAGGCAAAUUUGAAGUCAGCCUGGUCUACAUAGUAAGUUCUAGGACAGCCAAAGCUAGACCUGUGUCAAGCAAAAAGUGAAAGUAUCUACAUAUCUAUAUCUAUAUCUAUAUCUAUAUCUAUCUAUAUAUAUAUAUAUUUUUUUCUGCAAAGGACCUUCUAGGACCUCUCAAAUACUAACCGAGUAUUUUAUCACUCAGCUACAUCUCCAACUCCUCCAUUAUAAACUGUUUUAUGUUUUCUUUCAACAAAUGGUGAGCACACAGCCAUGCAAACGUGGCAGAGGAAGGUGAUUCCGGUCAGGUAUGGUGGCCCAUGACUCCAAUCCCAGCACUCUGGAGACAGAGGCAAGAGGAUCACUGUGAAUUCGAGGCCAGCCAAGGCUACCAAAUAAGAAUCUGUCUUUUUGGGCUGGAGAGCUGUUACGUUCUGAGUUCAAUUCCCAGCACCCACAUCGUGGCUCACAACCAUCCAUAAUGAGAUCUGGUGCCCUCUUCUGUCAUGCAGGGAGUGGUGCACGUCUGCGAUCCUAGCUACUCCACGAAGGCUGAAUCAGGAUGACGACAGGUUCAAAGCCAGACCAGCCAAUGCUGGGAUUAAAGUUUAAAGACGUGCUACACCGCACCGCUGCCCAUCUUCAAGGUCAGUUUUCAAUCCAGAGUGCAAACACGUCUCAAAAAACAAAUAAGCGAGAUUUCCCGAAGCCUUGGGAGUGAACACAGCUCUCCCUCCGCACUCCAGACUCUGUUGCACGCACCAGAACCUAGAGAACUCUGGUUCCUUGAUUCUGUGGACCACAGCAGAGCUCAGAAGGGAAAAUGGGUCACCUACAAUAUUCACUGGAGGCAUUUCCUGGUCCAACUUGACGACCAAGCUUUCCAUUAGAGAAGAGAAACCCAGUUUAAAAGUUCAAGAAACCCCUGAUCAAGGAUGCCAAUGGGGGGGCCCCUGCACUCCUGGGAGCCUCUGGAGGUGGACUGGCGUUUUGCUCUGGUGUGUGUGGGGGACUUCGAGAGCCCAUCCCACUUGAAGGGAUGCACUCUGUCUCUGAACACAUGGGGAGGGACCUAGGCCCAGCACAGGAAGAUUUGGUGGACUUGGUGGAGCCCUGGUUGGGGGCCCUACCC